UGGGGAAUAUUGGACAAUGGGGGCAACCCUGAUCCAGCAAUGCCGCGUGUGUGAAGAAGGUCUUCGGAUUGUAAAGCACUUUCGACGGGGACGAUGAUGACGGUACCCGUAGAAGAAGCCCCGGCUAACUUCGUGCCAGCAGCCGCGGUAAUACGAAGGGGGCUAGCGUUGCUCGGAAUGACUGGGCGUAAAGGGCGUGUAGGCGGUUUACACAGUCAGAUGUGAAAUCCCCGGGCUUAACCUGGGAGCUGCAUUUGAUACGUGUAGACUAGAGUGUGAGAGAGGGUUGUGGAAUUCCCAGUGUAGAGGUGAAAUUCGUAGAUAUUGGGAAGAACACCGGUGGCGAAGGCGGCAACCUGGCUCAUGACUGACGCUGAGGCGCGAAAAGCGUGGGGAGCAAACAGGAUUAGAUACCCUGGUAGUCCACGCUGUAAACGAUGUGUGCUAGAUGUUGGGUAACUUUGUUAUUCAGUGUCGCAGUUAACGCGUUAAGCACACCGCCUGGGGAGUACGGCCGCAAGGUUGAA
Molecule: ribosomal RNA, 527 nt
Filed under: uncultured bacterium
Lineage: Bacteria
Description: partial 16S ribosomal RNA
Rfam family: Bacterial small subunit ribosomal RNA
Source: RNAcentral